GCGGAAGCAACGGGACGUGCGACCAUGUCGAGCUUCUUGUCUUCUUGCACGCGCGCCCUAAGAUUCUUUCCCCCCGAAUCCCCGCGGCCGUCUCCCUCCCACAUCCUUCCUCCUCCUUCCUUCCUCGCUCGUCAGCCGCCGCACUCCUCCUCCAUCUCUUUCCUCCUGCAUCCUCCCGCGUGGGACGCCGCUAGGCUCCUCCCUCUUUCCUCCCAGCCUGACGCAGGCGGAUCCAUGAGUAGCAGAGAGGAGGAAGGGAGGUAGAGGAACGACGGGGAAGGGGAUGGGCAGGAGCUUCAUGCCCUGAAUCCAGUCGCCCCGGGCCGUGCCUACAUGAGCAGCGCCGCGGCUCGAUGCUUCCCCGCCCGACGAGGACGGAAAGCUAGGUGUUGACAAUGGCAGCCCCAGGCCAUCCGAUCUGUCACCGCCGCCAUUCUUUUGGUCGAGGCCGCCGUCGUCCACGUGCUCCUCCUCACCCCCACGGCUGCACGCUGGCGAGGCCAGCCUCCCCUCCAAGCGCGGGUACUUCCCCGCUCCUUUCCGUGCUCUCUCUCUUCCCCUGAUAUAUCUCUCUCUUGUACAGGGAAGCAAAUUUAUUCAAUUCCCAGUCUAGAUUUAAUGAAGAAAACUGCGGUUCAUACAACGCCAAUGGAUAUGGAUCCAUCUUGCUGCGCUGGAUGAAGGGCUGGAUAUGGAUCCAUCUUGCUAAUUGGGAAGAAAACUGCAGUUCAUACAAUGCUAAUUAUGGAUAUGGAUCCAUCUAAUACAGUUCUUCACAAAGCCCAAGAAUCGCAAGGUCAUGUACAUGUAACAAUGCAGGCCUAGAAUUAGUCAUGUAUCCAAAUUGUUCAGUUCCAGUUCAGUUAUGAGCUAACAAGAUCACCUUAAUGUGCAAGGUUCAAUUGCUUUCGGGGUCGUACUUUUCCUGGUCCUUAUUGGCUGGCUUGUCUUCGGCAUGAUGGCGGAGUCGUAUGGCUUUGCCCUGCUAUUCUGGUUAUCCUCUAUUGUGCAUUAAUAUGAUCAUUUGAUGUCUGUUUUUCAGUGUGCAUUAAGAAAUGGUAGAAACUUUUGGGUAUUGUAUUUGACUGGUACUGAAUUUCCUCACAGCAGCUUCUGGCCUGCUGCUGUUGUUUACCUGCAAAAAAAACCCCACCAUCGGUUGGAUUUUCCAGCACCCUUAUGUGAUAUCGGUAAGAUCAUACUUGGGGCUUUGCUGUUGCCGAGCUUCCUAAAUUUUCUUCGAGUCCAACCCAGUCUGGUCGCCACUUUAUUUACAUGGUCUUGUUCUUGCUAGGGAUUGUUUUUAUCAAGAUUGAUGAACUAUAUGACUGGAUCCCAGCCCCCAUUGUUCUUACUGCUGUUACCUACUUCUGUAAUUAACCUUUACUGAGUACCGUUAGGUCUUUAGCAUAGCACUCUAAAUAUUUAAGCUAAUAAGGAUACCAUUAGAUGACUGACCCUGUAAUUAACCUUAUUCAGUUUAUGAACAUAUAUGUACGCUACAGAGCAUGAAAUUGGGAAAAUACAAAUAUGAUUGGUGGUUGGUUCACCAUUUAAAAAUUUGAUCUACCAAUUGUGUCUCAGUGAUUUCUACUUGAGCUAAAACCACACCAAUAAUUUUGGAACGAGGGAGUACUUAUUUGUUGUUGUGUAUUUGAUGGUUUGAUAAAAAUAUCAUGAAGGUUAAAUCGGGCGUGGUUUUGAUAUAUUUUUGUUACAAGAUAUUACAUCGGCUUUCUGGUUUGGAAAUACUUAUAAUCGUUUUCUUCUAACUGCAUGUGAGCCCACACUUUUGUAGAUUACUUAGGAUAGAGAUGAUAUGAAUGUGUGCAACAAAAUUCUUUACUCGGGAAUGGCUUGGUAGGUCUCUCGACUAUUCGGUUUCAUCCGUAGGAUUAAAAUUUCUUCAACUUGCUCUCCUCCCACCUUCAAUUUCUUUAAAACCGUUGUAUUGACAAGUAGAAACAGUAGCUUGUUUGAAUUAUGUAAAGUUCAUCCAUGUAACAGUUGCCUCUUAAAGACUGCUGACAAAGUGCAAAUUUGAUAUAAUUUUGCUGAUGACGCAAAUUGAUCGUACACUGAAACCGAAGCCUUUGGAAAUUGAAACACAAACCUUACUUAAGAGCAGGCAGAGGCGCAGAGCCAACGGCAUGCUCUUGGAUCAAUAUUCUACAGGUUAAACAACAUUCAUAUGUUCUAGCAUCUUUAGAUUUACAUUUUCUUUUUAACAGUCUAAUUACUCCAUGUAAAAACUGCAUCCAUUUUGGUAUGUGAUACUGCAAGUGUAAAUUAAGAAAGUAGCCUUUACGGUCUAGCUUCAGCAUCUGUAAAUCAUGAAUAUGUACAUACUACAUAAAAAUGGAGCAUCCUUACUCGAUUGCGUUCUUCUGUUUUACAGGUGACGUUGUUGCCUGCUCUUCUAAACUGCCGCUUGUUUAUCGUUUGCUUUUUUGUGUAUCAAGGAGGGUAACUACUGGAAGCAGUUGGCAAGACAAGCAGUCAAUGGAUCUCAAAGCGUUGAUCCUGAAGGAAGGUAACUACUCAAAGGUAUGCACAUAUUCAUGUUGGAGAAGUUAAGUUUGCAAGGAUCUGCUGUUGGAGGGCAUGGUAUGUGCUCUCAAGAAGUUCUUUAUGAUCCGGUGACAUCUUUUGGCCUAUUGAGGAACUGGACAUGAUUUAUAUAGCGAAGUUAAGUGUAUGGAUGACAACUUCCUCUCAUACCUCUUUUGGCCUAUUGAGGAGCUGGACAUGAUUUAUAUAGCGAAGUUAAGUGUAUGGAUGACAACUUCCUCUCAUACAUGUUAUCUGUAUAUUUUAUAUACAUGGCUUUUGUGUUCUGUCAUGUGUGUUCCUGCUGCAGACUUUUGUAGGAAAUUCACCAUGGGAAUUUAAAUAAUGGUUCCCUGCCCAUCAGUUUACUUUGUUGCAUUUUAUAGGCCACACUUUUCCUAUUUUGUUAAAGAAGUGAACUCAUUCCUAAACUUCCACCGUAUAUACAUCAACGCUGGGAUACCGUAUAUACAUCAACGCUGGGAUACUGUACCAACCCAGCAAUACUAAAAAGCUAUGAAUUGUGUGUCAGUGUAGUACUAUGUCCCACUGAUGAUGCUUCUCUGUAACAUGUUUAUCUAUUUGAUUGCAUGCCUUGAAGUAGUAGUAUAUUGAGCACCCUGAGAUAAUCAUCGAGAAGUUUGGCGGAAUUUUAAAUGAUUUAUUAAGCGACCUUUUAUGAUUGACCAUUGUACGAGAGCAUGUUUUAGUACUACUUGAGCGAGUUAGAAUGUAUAUAUUUUCAACUAAGACCAAUUUUUUCAAAAGGCAAAAUAAUUUCUGCAUGAUCACAUAUCAUGAUUAUCUCCAUGAAGAAUGCUUUAGACAGUACAAUAACGAAAAUAAGCAUUUUUGGCCUUCGAAACAUAUACUGUUGUUGGGACAUCUGAUUGGACCUUUCUAUGUAGAAAAUGAGAAGUGCUAAGUGUACAGAAACCCGCACUUCAUAUUUCUUACAUGCGUGAUUUAUCAUCUACGAUCCUCUUUUAUAUUGCUUACUUGCGUGAUUUGUCUGAUUGCCAGUAGAAAUGUUUAUGUUAGCAUGUCAGUUUGCUAACUUAAUACCUUCCAUCUUAUACAUCGAUAAUGCUUUGAAGACACCGACAAGAAUAACUAAAUUAAAUUGUGCCUGAACAUGUCAAUUGCAAUGACAGGUUCUCACCUUUCAACGAAGGAUCUCAUUAUAAAUCCUAAUUUUGGAUGUCUAGGUGGUUGGCUGAUGGAGAGUGUUGCACUGCUGCUUAUUUAAUGAUCAGUAGUGCAGCUCACGAUUUGAUUUAAUUAGCGUUUUCGUAGUGAAAAUAUGAAGACAAAUUUUCUAAACAACUUUAGGAUAUCUUCGAAAGAAUGUGCUAGAUUUGGGUCCUAUUAUAUUUUCUCAAUUCCUAUGUCAUCUCUCACAUGGCUAUGUGGUCUCCCCGGUUUUGUCUUUACAUUAUAUCUGUGUUGUACUACUGCUACCUCCCGCGCUACAGAAAGUAUUUUUUAUAUCAGCUUUGCUCUCGUGUGUGCAAGGAUUCCAUUCAGGUACGAAAAACACCACCCCUCAUGAAGUUACUUCUUUUCAGAGAGAGAAUGAUCAUUGGUUUUUAUAUGGAUUCAGUGCACAUAAAUAAUUAGCUCGCAUUUUAAGUUUGGUUUUAGAAUUAGCUUUCCAGUUCUGUACAUGUUUUCCUCGCUGAUGAUGGAUUUCUUCUUCUAAGAUGAAACUUUAGCACCAAAUAUGAAGUUAUUUGGACAAAGAAAAUCUUCCUUCCUCUUUGCUAUUUUCUCUCUUUAGUGUUGCUUUUUUAGAACACUCUUUAGUGUUGCUUUGAUGUUCCUUUGUCACAGUUCGAUAUUCUGCCUUGUGUGGCCUCUGUCUUGGUUUACAGCUCCAUAUGGCUACCUAUGUAUAUAUACGUAGGUUUUGUUUGAACUGUACUCAAACCAUGCAGAUGUUUCCACAUUCUUGCCUUCAUCUUUUUAACUCGUGACAUUGUUAGAUAGUUGAAUAUCAUUGGCCUCUGUCAGCAUUCUAUUUUUGCAGUUUGAAAUGAGUAUUGGUCCAUUGAUAUUAAACUUCACAAUAGGUGGUGGCAUCUCCAGGAAAAAGUAGUGACAGAUAUGCUGGACAUUUCUUUUCUGCUGUCCUAACACAUUUUUUAGUAACGGAGAGGAUUACUCACCUUUGGUGCUGCAGGCGUUCAAGACCUAGCAGGGCUGGGCCAACCGGCCCUUCGUGUUUGAAGAUGCCUGACACCCCAUGCUACCAGCCGGGCAUCUUCUUCCUGAGCCAUGUCCGGAACCAGACCAGCAGGGGCACCAUGAGCGAGUACUCGAGGCAUGUCGUCAGGUCGGAGGGGUACAACCAGGCCAGCUGCCGUGUAUGUCAUACAGUCAAGGUGUUCGCUAAUCUCCCAAGAUGAGCCAGAACGAGCAUUACAAGAUGAACCCCCCAUAUUUUUCAUUCCUUGAUAAAUGGUGUUGUAUGUUGGUUAAAGACUGUUUUUCUUCUCCAAUUAUGAAACCUCAAACAACAGCAAGAUAUAACAUUUUUGUUUGUUUUGCAAUCAAAGCUUCCAUCGAAUAAUUUAUUAGAAUUAUGCUCCAUCUUAUUCAGAAAUUGUGGCUAUUUUGUAUAUUUAUACAAGAUAGUAGCGAGUUGGCCUCUCGGUCUUAUUUCUUUAUACAUUUUGACUCAUACGCACA
Triticum aestivum (bread wheat) is the source of this 5241-nucleotide long non-coding RNA. RefSeq lists it as uncharacterized. Lineage: Eukaryota; Viridiplantae; Streptophyta; Magnoliopsida; Poales; Poaceae. The record is from RefSeq and is a predicted model, not a curated record. The transcript has 2 exons.